GGUGAGUGUUGCCUCAAAACUUCAUUGCAACAAAACUUUGAUAGUAUACGGUGAGUGUUGCUUCAAAACUUCAUUGCAACAAAACUUUGAUUGUAUACGGUGAGUGUUGCUUAAAUUUCACCAUUACUUUAGAGUCACUUUAUUUGUUUGUGUGUUUGCAUUGAGAACUCCAUCACCCAAAACUGCCUUCAUUUCCAAAAAUAAUACCUGGGCAUAGUUUUGCAUAAUAUCUUGCAGAACUCAGUACCUGGUGAAUAUGGGUGUCUUUGCUCUCUAAUAGGUUGUUCUCGCUAGCAUGCUUCCUACGUCAAUUAAUUUCUUCUUCGUAUCUACCAAUGUAAAUGUGUGUUGCUACUUACUAACUAUUUUUGGUUUCUGCAUAUGCCACAUACCCAUUGCCUUGAGAGAGCUAUCCCUCCAGGUGAAGAACAUGAUUUCAUUCUGCAACUUUUAUGUAUAGGUCGCUUUGUUGCUUACAUCAAGGACAUUGAGGCUUGUGUCAUCAGUCCUCACAGCUACAAUAUCAUUUCUUUGACUUAAUUAGCUGUGAUCCGUUUACCCAUUUCAUGCCAUUUUCUCGAUUAACUAUGAUCUUUCAUUUUCAAUUUUCUUUUUACUGGGCAUCCAUCCAAAGGGGCCUGGCCAUUUUAUGAGAGGACAUAAAGAAAGUGGAUACUUAUUCUCAGCAUUCAGCAUUAGCAAACACAUUAGCAUUUUGCAUGAAGUUUUUGUCCCUUACUUACCAAUCUCAAAAGACGUCCAAACAUAAAAGCACCCUAUUAUUUGUUCACGCAUUUAAAUGUCCUGUUAUCCUUUGUAUUUAUCAAGCUUUAUGACUGAAACCAGUUAGAUUAGUUCUGCAUAGAUUUAAGAACUUCAUCCCCCCUUAGGACCCAAAAAAAUGCCUUAAUUACCUAAAAAAAACACCACGUGGAACGCAUGUGUAGUUAUACAAAAACUAUCGGAAGACAAAUCUAAUAACAACACAAUCUAAGAUCAAUUAGUAGAUAUGAUGACCCAAAAGCAUCGCAACCUAUACCAGAAAAGUUCGAGCAGCACUGCAAAUUUUUUUGGAUUCAGCUAAGUAUUGUCAUGCUUUAUUCGUGUGUGUUAAAAAUUUCGGCUUCCCAGGUACAAUCUGCAAGGCAUAUACAUUACCAUUUGAAGCUCAAUGAGAUCAUCCCAUUUGGGAUUGCCUGAAAUACAUACCCCACAGGUAUCAUACUUACUCUAACGCUGGCUUCCUAAUUAUCCCCUUGUCAUCUAUGUGAGUUGUAUUGAUAUUCUUUGCUAGAGAGAAAAGGUCAACAAAAAGGAUAAUUCCUAUUAAUUGUGGCUAACCUAUCUUUCUUGUCCAGUAUUCCCAUAAAGCCUUGUGUCGUGGAUUUAUUUUUCAAAGGUUAAGCAUUGGUUUCUCAUGGCACUAUACAAGAACUGAAGGAUCCACUACGGAAUCAAGUUAUCGGGUGGCGACUGAUCUAGAAGGCUGGAGUAGGAUCAAAUUGCCAAGGUAAUUGAGGAAUUUGCAAAGAUUGAUAUGCUUCUCAAGCCCAAGAGGGGGGAGACAAAGAGGAGAACAAAAAAAGUUCAGGUGCACAAGAACAAUGAAGUACAAAUUUAUGCCUGAAUUAGAUGGAGUUGGAUCACUCUUAGACUCAUUCAGAAGUAAAAAGACAAGCAGCAACUUGGCAAAUUAAUCACAAUUGGAGUAAUUUCCCUUGCUCUUUUUGGCGGUUACAAAUGUCUUUGACUUAAUUUUUUUCCCUCCAAUCAAUGGAUGGGUCAACAAAGAUGGCAAUGUGUACAUGGGCCUUGUAUCCCUUGUAUAAUGACUCUCUUUCUAACAUGUAAGGAUAUUUAUACAUGGGUAAGUUUCAUAAUGCUAGAUUGUACAUACAAAGCUUCAAAGAAGUUAGGAAAGUUUCUUUUAGAAUCUUGCGCAUUCUUUGAUUACAUUUUGAGUAUUAUUUGGAUACUAAUUUUGCAGUGUAGUAUUGCAUUAAAAUAAUGGAUACAUAGCCACAACCUGAAAUUCAACUCCGGCAAGAGAUCUUUGAAUUCUCAAUUUUCGGCUUACAAUCACUCAAGAACGAAAGGACGCAAUUACUCCAUACCAUUCUUCCACUGGGUUCGUAUUGAUCCGGUUUUGUAGAAAUUGAAGUUCCGAACCAUUACUUACAAAUCCAGGAAUUGGUGUUCUAUCAUGAUCAAAUCCCAACAGCCUGAACCAACGACUCCGUGAAUUACAAAAACCUUCAAUUGUCUGGUGUAGGU
Molecule: RNA transcript, 2274 nt
Organism: Rhododendron vialii
Lineage: Eukaryota; Viridiplantae; Streptophyta; Magnoliopsida; Ericales; Ericaceae
Exons: 4
Source: RefSeq, a predicted model, not a curated record